Molecule: small nuclear RNA, 179 nt
Filed under: Crocodylus porosus (Australian saltwater crocodile)
Lineage: Eukaryota; Metazoa; Chordata; Crocodylia; Crocodylidae
Description: U2 spliceosomal RNA (ENSCPRG00005012354.1)
Rfam family: U2 spliceosomal RNA
About the family: U2 is a small nuclear RNA (snRNA) component of the spliceosome (involved in pre-mRNA splicing). Complementary binding between U2 snRNA (in an area lying towards the 5' end but 3' to hairpin I) and the branchpoint sequence (BPS) of the intron results the bulging out of an unpaired adenosine, on the BPS, which initiates a nucleophilic attack at the intronic 5' splice site, thus starting the first of two transesterification reactions that mediate splicing.
Source: Rfam by way of RNAcentral
AUAACUUCUCGGCCUUUUGACUAAGAUCAAGUGUUAUAUUUUUUUAUAUAUAUAUAUAUUUUUUUUAAAAAAUAUUUAUUUAUUUAUUUAUUUAUUUUGCAAGGUGCUAGGUGCAGGGUUGUACGUGCCUGCCUCCUAUGGUAGGGCAGUGCAGGACUGUCCCUGCCAUAGCAAAGAUU